Rhipicephalus microplus (southern cattle tick) is the source of this 1303-nucleotide long non-coding RNA. Lineage: Eukaryota; Metazoa; Arthropoda; Arachnida; Ixodida; Ixodidae. The record is from RefSeq and is a predicted model, not a curated record.
CUGAUUGUCAAAAUGGCAGCGGCGGUCUUGUCAGAGAAAGUGCAGUGAACUAGUGAAGAGCACUUCCAGCACAGUAGGGGCCGGAACAGGCAUGCGCUGAUGCUCUGAUGAGACAUGGCUCGGCGCCACCGAUGCAGCUGUCGUGCACACAACAGAAACGGUCACGACCGGCGCAGACACGACCAGCGGAAGCACCUUCGCCGCAUGCAGAACAGGGACUGCCUCCAGAAUCCCGGCCGGCACGCUCGGUGGAUUCAUCUCUGGCAAACCAAGAACGCACACAGCAUCCCGGAGGCCACCACAAGCCGAAAGACACACAGCCAGGGCGGAAGCAGCAGCAGGCAAGACGGGAGCAGCAGGCACAACUGAAGUACGGACAGCUGAUGCAGGCAAAGUACGGUCAGCAUCAGCAGACCCUACCAGAACUGCCAUCCUUGCAGCAGACCCUCCGUUGCCCUACACCCUCCGUUGCCCUCCGUAUACCCUCCGUUGCCUUACAUGAUAAAGAGUUAUUUUGGUCCUGAAUGACGAGCGUGCUAUGGUUGAUGUGACCUGGGUUUUUGUUAGUUUGGUACUUCUUGCCUUUUUUUCUCCUCCCCCUUUGCCCUCUCUUGCUUUUUAUUCUCUCCUAUGUACAGGGUAUUGCCUCAUUCUUGCAAUAAAGCACUGUGCCUGUCUGUCCUUUUUUCUCCUUUAGUGUUUCUAUCCGUUUUUUGCGCAGUUACAUAACGGAUACUAGUAUAGUCAAUAAAAUCAAUUUUGUAGCCAAUGGCCAGGAGCACUGGAAACCUGUUUCAAUAUUACUUCCCGUUCCACGUUUUAGUUUGACCCAGUGGCAGUCAUCUUCACACUUCACGUCAUCUACUUAUGGAACUUCCUACCCUCAUCACUAAAAUGUAAAAUUUCUCUGCUUUCAUUUAAAAAGUCAUUAAAAGAUUAUUUCUUAAAUUUAUGAAAUUUUAUUUAGGUGUACCAGAUUGCUAUAUAUUGUACUAAUGAUGUGUGUUUUAGUAACAUGUCUUUUCGUUUUUUUUCUAGUUUAGCAUUGCUUGUUUGUUCAGUUCUAGUGUUGUGGUGAUUCUAAAUUUACUCAUUAUAUGCAGUGUUUGUUUUUUUGGUUUUUUAUAUGCCUUCUUGCUUUUCAUAUAUGGUUUUUUCAGUUAUCGCUGCUGCUGAAUUUUUAUUCAAUUGGAACUAUAACUGAGGGUCCCGUUGCCAUCCCAUACUGUGGGACCCUAGUUUGUGUAUUGUAUAUUUUGUAUUUACUCUUGUCGUAAUAAAAAUAAUUUGAUUUGAAACAUCA